CAGUACCAGUUUGGCAUAUUUCUAGUUUAUUUAUUAUGUUUGAUUGCUGAAACCCAAUUAUUUAUCCGAAUAUUUAUCCGAAGAGGUCUUUGCUGAAACCCAUCCGAGCAAUCAAAAGAGCUUUAUUGCUUCAAAAGAGUUUUGCUGUUUGCUUUUUCAGAUCUCAACUUCUUUCUAUUUCUGUUUUAUUAAUUUGUCUUUCAGAACUUUUGUUAUUUUUCCAUUCAUACAGAAAAAAGAAAAAAAAAUAAAAAAAUCAAAAACUUGAAAAAACUGAAGGAAGAGAUUGACUUCGGUUUCGUUCUGUUCAUUUCAAAGGUUAAGAGGUAAACACUAAUCUGCUUUUCUUCAUCUUUCACUAGCCGGGUCAAUUUAAAGUAAAAAAAUUUGUUCUGUAUUAUUAUACUAGUUUGAAUCCUUUAAAACUUUGCAGUUUGCAAUUUAUGAUUGUAGUUUGUUUUAAUAUUUUUAUGUUGUUGUUGUUUGCAGAUCAUUUAGUUUAUGCUUUUUGAAGUCUUGUAGAACGCACCAUCAACAGUACUCUCCUUGUUGAUUCAUAAUCCAGGUAAGAGACUCAUAUGGCUCUUCAUUGUUUUGGCCAUUUAUUACUGUCUAUAUAUAUUUAUGUAAAAUGAAUUAAUUAAUAAAGGUUAUAGAUCUGAGGUUUUGAUGGGUUUUCUGGUUUUGAGACUUUGACAAAGCCAAAUUUUAAGUAAUUAAUAAUAGCAAAAAAAAUAUUAUUGUUUUUUAAUUUUAGAUUAAUAUUUUAACAAAAAAAAUAUCACGUGACCUUAGGAAACGUGAGGGACCAAAACUGCAAUUUAGCCUAAAAUAAUAUUAUAGAAAAACAAAAAUGAACGCCUUUUACAUAGGAUAAAUGUAAUAUUUUUAAAACUUCCUUUUGUAAAAAGAUACUUUUGAAAUUUGUAGGGAUAAAAGUCAAUUUUUUAUGGAGACUAAAACUAAAAUUCUAUCUUUUUUGUAAGGAUAAAAAUUACAUUUUAUAAAAAAAUUCUAUUUUAGGAACAUUUUGU
RNAcentral lists this long non-coding RNA (1034 nucleotides) under Trifolium pratense (red clover). RNAcentral's name for it is "long non-coding RNA (TPRA_LNC007301)". The record is from RNAcentral. Lineage: Eukaryota; Viridiplantae; Streptophyta; Magnoliopsida; Fabales; Fabaceae.